RNAcentral lists this ribosomal RNA (407 nucleotides) under uncultured bacterium. RNAcentral describes it as "partial 16S ribosomal RNA". It matches the Rfam family "Bacterial small subunit ribosomal RNA", at positions 30 to 526 of the family's 1533-position model. The record is from RNAcentral.
AUUGAACGCUGGCGGCAGGCCUAACACAUGCAAGUCGAACGGAGUGGCGGACGGGUGAGUAAUGUAUGGGAAACUGCCUGAUAGAGGGGGAUAACUACUGGAAACGGUAGCUAAUACCGCAUACUAUAAGAUGAGCAUAGGUCGGAUUAGCUAGUUGGGGGGGUAAAGGCCUACAAAGGCGACGAUCCGUAACUGGUCUGAGAGGAUGAUCAGUCACACUGUAACUGAGACACGGUCCAGACUCCUACGGUAGUCAGCAGUGGGGAAGAUUGGACAAGGGGCGAAAGCCUGAUGCAGCCAUGCCGCGUGUGUGAAGAAGGUCUUCGGAUUGUAAAGCACUUUAAGUUGGGAGGCGUUACCAACAGAAUAAGCACCGGCUAACUUCGUGCCAGCAGCCGCGGUAAUUC